UGGGGAAUAUUGGACAAUGGGCGAAAGCCUGAUCCAGCCAUGCCGCGUGUGUGAAGAAGGUCUUCGGAUUGUAAAGCACUUUAAGUUGGGAGGAAGGGUUGUAGAUUAAUACUCUGCAAUUUUGACGUUACCGACAGAAUAAGCACCGGCUAACUCUGUGCCAGCAGCCGCGGUAAUACAGAGGGUGCAAGCGUUAAUCGGGAUUACUGGGCGUAAAGCGCGCGUAGGUGGUUAGUUAAGUUGGAUGUGAAAUCCCCGGGCUCAACCUGGGAACUGCAUUCAAAACUGACUGACUAGAGUAUGGUAGAGGGUGGUGGAAUUUCCUGUGUAGCGGUGAAAUGCGUAGAUAUAGGAAGGAACACCAGUGGCGAAGGCGACCACCUGGACUGAUACUGACACUGAGGUGCGAAAGCGUGGGGAGCAAACA
This 427-nucleotide ribosomal RNA is filed under the name uncultured bacterium. RNAcentral's name for it is "partial 16S ribosomal RNA". It matches the Rfam family "Bacterial small subunit ribosomal RNA", at positions 355 to 774 of the family's 1533-position model. The record is from RNAcentral.